RNAcentral lists this ribosomal RNA (467 nucleotides) under uncultured bacterium. Its description in RNAcentral is "partial 16S ribosomal RNA". It matches the Rfam family "Bacterial small subunit ribosomal RNA", at positions 29 to 507 of the family's 1533-position model. The record is from RNAcentral.
ACGAACGCUGGCGGCGUGCUUAACUCAUGCAAGUCGAACGGAAAGGCCCUGCUUUUGUGGGGUGCUCGAGUGGCGAACGGGUGAGUAACACGUGAGUAACCUGCCCUUGACUUUGGGAUAACUUCAGGAAACUGGGGCUAAUACCGGAUAGGAGCUCCUGCUGCAUGGUGGGGGUUGGAAAGUUUCGGCGGUUGGGGAUGGACUCGCGGCUUAUCAGCUUGUUGGUGGGGUAGUGGCUUACCAAGGCUUUGACGGGUAGCCGGCCUGAGAGGGUGACCGGCCACAUUGGGACUGAGAUACGGCCCAGACUCCUACGGGAGGCAGCAGUGGGGAAUAUUGCACAAUGGGCGGAAGCCUGAUGCAGCAACGCCGCGUGCGGGAUGACGGCCUUCGGGUUGUAAACCGCUUUCGCCUGUGACGAAGCGUGAGUGACGGUAAUGGGUAAAGAAGCACCGGCUAACUACGUG